GUAAGAAUUCAUAUCAGAUUUCUUGAACUCCCUGUGUCACAAGCUCUGGUUCUCUUUCCUUCCUGUUUGUGACACCCUUGUGUUUUUGGCCUUAGAGAUAGUCUUUGUUUCAUACGUGCAGUUUCUUGCCGUGUCUGGAUGUAGCAUAUCUAUAGUACUGUUUUCUGUUUUAGCUGCUGAAAUUAGACCCUCUUUACCUAACCCUUGUUAUGUAAUAAUUUAUUUCUUUGCUUUAAUCUUUCUUGCAUAUUUGUGACAUUAAAAUUUCCUUAA
This 273-nucleotide long non-coding RNA is filed under the name Bos taurus (domestic cattle). RNAcentral's name for it is "long non-coding RNA NONBTAT000303". The record is from RNAcentral. Lineage: Eukaryota; Metazoa; Chordata; Mammalia; Artiodactyla; Bovidae.